This 345-nucleotide long non-coding RNA is filed under the name Canis lupus familiaris (dog). Its description in RNAcentral is "lncRNA (ENSCAFG00000039143.3)". The record is from RNAcentral. Lineage: Eukaryota; Metazoa; Chordata; Mammalia; Carnivora; Canidae.
AUGGCCAAGCCAAUGGAAAGAAUUUCCAGGGAAAUAUAUUCCCUUAUCCUGCCACUGUACAGAAGAGUAACAACCAACCAGCCAAUCAACAGAAGGGAAAAAAAAUUAACAACCAAUACUUUCAAGACCAUCUCAUUAAUAAUCACAGGACUUGCGAGUGUGUUUUCCAGUCUCAGGACUAAGCAGCGUUCUACUUCAAUUCACUGCUUGACCUGGAAACUCAAUACAAGACAGCAUCUUCGUGGCCCAACAUUAUUAUCCUUCUCUGAAGAUAUAACAGCUUAACCCAUCACAAAGUGAGUCUUUUGAUACUGGGACAAUAGGGCCCCGAAUAUUUAUUUUAGC